GCCCUUUUAUAGUUCAUGGGCGUGAAGAUUGGGUGUUCACACACGUGUGAAAUGUGCCACCCUCAGAUCUUGUUACAAUAUUUGCACAUUACCUGUCUGACA
Molecule: small nucleolar RNA, 102 nt
Organism: Saimiri boliviensis boliviensis (Bolivian squirrel monkey)
Lineage: Eukaryota; Metazoa; Chordata; Mammalia; Primates; Cebidae
Product: small nucleolar RNA U13
Source: RefSeq, a predicted model, not a curated record